Operophtera brumata (winter moth) is the source of this 74-nucleotide transfer RNA. It matches the Rfam family "tRNA". From Rfam's summary of the family: Transfer RNA (tRNA) molecules are approximately 80 nucleotides in length. The record is from Rfam. Lineage: Eukaryota; Metazoa; Arthropoda; Insecta; Lepidoptera; Geometridae.
CGUUCUAUGGCCGAAUUGGUAAAAGGCUUCGCCGAUCACAGGCGAGGUUGCGGGUUUGAGUCCCGCUGGAACGA